Molecule: ribosomal RNA, 1058 nt
Filed under: Megascolecidae sp. YN201756-03
Lineage: Eukaryota; Metazoa; Annelida; Clitellata; Crassiclitellata; Megascolecidae
Description: partial small subunit ribosomal RNA
Source: RNAcentral
CUCGAUAAUCCACGACUGCCCACCCUUCUCUAGAACUCAGCUUGUGUACUGCCGUUGCAAGCACACCUUUAAAAGAAAUAAGUGUGCAAUAAUGAACAAUAAAUAACCAUUGAACCAUAGACAUCAGGUCAAAGUGCAGCCCAUGAGAAGGAGACGAUGGGUUACAACCCCGAAAAGGAUACAAAACAAAGAACUAAAUACUCUGCGAAGCUGGACUUGAUUGUAAUUUAUUACACAUACUUAAAUGAACACCAUAUCUAAGACAUGUACACAUCGCCCGUCACUCUACCCAAAAGGGUAGAUAAGUCGUAACAAAGUAGGCGUAAUGGAAAUUGCGCCUGUCGAAGUAUAGCAUAUAAAAUGCCUUUUACUUACACUAAAAAUAAAGUUAACUAACUUACUUCGCAAUACAAAACAUAUCUUAACAACAGGCCCAAAUAAAAACACUCACACCAUCAACAAACCAAAGAAGUACAGAAAUGGAAACAAACAAUAAACAAAAGUAAGAAUUAAAAACUGUACCUUGUGCAUCAUGGUUUUACAAGUAAGCCUUUUACAAAAAUAGUCCCGAAUUCUCAAACGAGCUGUCAUCAUACUGCUAAGAACCCACUAAUAACUGUAGAACAAGUUUUAAGAGAUAUUAUGACAGAGGCUACAUACCACCCGCGCGAGAAUAUAGCUGGUUCUCAAUAAACAUUAUAUAUUAAAGCAUGUAAAACGAUUACAAUGUUAAACUGCCGAGGACAAGCUCGACAAUAAAAGCAAUUUAACCCACAAACUACCACAUCUACCCUAUAGGCCUAAAAACAGCCAAAAACAGUACUUUACCGUAAAACAAAAAGAAACAAUUAAUACAAAUAUUAUGCAACAAAUAAUUGAGAUAAGCACCAAACAAAUUAAUGCUAUAUAUUAUGUAAAAAUAAGUAUUAUAAAUCAAACAAAUUAAAAACUAAACAAAAUAUACUAUUAAAACAACAAUCACUGAUUAAGGAACUCGGCAAAUACUUAUUUCGACUGUUUAACAAAAACAUUGCCUUAUGUCAAACCUAUAUAAGGUA